RNAcentral lists this unclassified non-coding RNA (310 nucleotides) under Cercozoa sp. RNAcentral describes it as "partial contains small subunit ribosomal RNA, internal transcribed spacer 1, and 5.8S ribosomal RNA". The stretch from base 1 to 47 matches the Rfam family "Eukaryotic small subunit ribosomal RNA", at positions 1785 to 1831 of the family's 1831-position model. The record is from RNAcentral. Lineage: Eukaryota; Cercozoa.
AAAGUCGUAACAAGGUUUCCGUAGGUGAACCUGCGGAAGGAUCAUUAUCACGUAUCCACGUAUAAACCAUUGUGAACCGUACCCAAUUUUAACCUCCGCAAAUCCAUUCCUUUUUUCUUCUAUUUUUCUUUUCGAAAGAAAACAAAAAGACAAAGAUUAAAAAGGCUGGCGUAUACCGGAGUGUAUUUACCAUAUUAACCAUUUUAACCAACCAUUAUAACUUUAUGAACUAACUUUAUUUUAUACUCUUCGGAGAUAAAAUUCAUUACGAAACAAAGAACAACUCUUAGCAACGGAUAUCUUGGUUCUC